Hordeum vulgare subsp. vulgare (domesticated barley) is the source of this 512-nucleotide long non-coding RNA. RefSeq lists it as uncharacterized. The transcript is spliced from 2 exons. Lineage: Eukaryota; Viridiplantae; Streptophyta; Magnoliopsida; Poales; Poaceae. The record is from RefSeq and is a predicted model, not a curated record.
GCACGCAAGGAAGAUAACGAAAGCAGCCGUCUCCCGUUUCGCACGCCGUCCACCCAGACCCAGCGCUCCCCUUCCCUCCCGUGGCCCUCCGACGUCGGUUCGUCUCCGACCACGAUUGGAAAAAGUCAGAACCGCCACCACCCGCACCGACUCCUUCCCGGAAACCCAUCGCCGCCACCAGCUCCACGCCCCUUAUAAAUACCACACGAUCUCCCCAUGGUUUCCUCGCAUCGGAGGAUUCGAUUGACUUCUCUUCUCUUCUCUUCUCUUCCACCUCCCGUCGUCGGGUAAAUCGAAGAACUACUUUACUGCUGCUCUGUUUUUCUCUUGUGGUAUGUCGAGGUGUAUUCAAGUGCUGGUUACUGUGAUGUAAUCUAUCAAUCCUUCUGAUCAUUAGUCUGUUUGUUUGAUUUUCUACAUGGAUAUUCCGGUUGGGCUUCAGCUGGUUUCAUACUCUGUCCGGUGUUGGAUUAGUCUUGGCUUGGUAAAUAGUAUUGCUAUUGUAAUCUGUA